UGUUUCGGCUAGGGGGCCAUCCCGGCUUACCAACCCGAUGCAAACUGCGAAUACCGGAGAAUGUUAUCACGGGAGACACACGGCGGGUGCUAACGUCCGUCGUGAAGAGGGAAACAACCCAGACCGCCAGCUAAGGUCCCAAAGUCAUGGUUAAGUGGGAAACGAUGUGGGAAGGCCCAGACAGCCAGGAUGUUGGCUUAGAAGCAGCCAUCAUUUAAAGAAAGCGUAAUAGCUCACUGGUCGAGUCGGCCUGCGCGGAAGAUGUAACGGGGCUAAACCAUGCACCGAAGCUGCGGCAGCGACACUGUGUGUUGUUGGGUAGGGGAGCGUUCUGUAAGCCUGUGAAGGUGUGCUGUGAGGCAUGCUGGAGGUAUCAGAAGUGCGAAUGCUGACAUAAGUAACGAUAAAGCGGGUGAAAAGCCCGCUCGCCGGAAGACCAAGGGUUCCUGUCCAACGUUAAUCGGGGCAGGGUGAGUCGACCCCUAAGGCGAGGCCGAAAGGCGUAGUCGAUGGGAAACGGGUUAAUAUUCCCGUACUUGGUGUUACUGCGAAGGGGGGACGGAGAAGGCUAUGUUGGCCGGGCGACGGUUGUCCCGGUUUAAGCGUGUAGGUGUGUGUUCCAGGUAAAUCCGGUUCACUUUAACACUGAGGCGUGAUGACGAGGCACUACGGUGCUGAAGCAACAAAUGCCCUGCUUCCAGGAAAAGCCUCUAAGCAUCAGGUAACAUCAAAUCGUACCCCAAACCGACACAGGUGGUCAGGUAGAGAAUACCAAGGCGCUUGAGAGAACUCGGGUGAAGGAACUAGGCAAAAUGGUGCCGUAACUUCGGGAGAAGGCACGCUGACACGUAGGUGAAGUGAUUUACUCACGGAGCUGAAGUCAGUCGAAGAUACCAGCUGGCUGCAACUGUUUAUUAAAAACACAGCACUGUGCAAACACGAAAGUGGACGUAUACGGUGUGACGCCUGCCCGGUGCCGGAAGGUUAAUUGAUGGGGUCAGCGCAAGCGAAGCUCCUGAUCGAAGCCCCGGUAAACGGCGGCCGUAACUAUAACGGUCCUAAGGUAGCGAAAUUCCUUGUCGGGUAAGUUCCGACCUGCACGAAUGGCGUAAUGAUGGCCAGGCUGUCUCCACCCGAGACUCAGUGAAAUUGAACUCGCUGUGAAGAUGCAGUGUACCCGCGGCAAGACGGAAAGACCCCGUGAACCUUUACUAUAGCUUGACACUGAACAUUGAGCCUUGAUGUGUAGGAUAGGUGGGAGGCUUUGAAGCGUGGACGCCAGUCUGCGUGGAGCCGACCUUGAAAUACCACCCUUUAAUGUUUGAUGUUCUAACGUGGACCCGUGAUCCGGGUUGCGGACAGUGUCUGGUGGGUAGUUUGACUGGGGCGGUCUCCUCCUAAAGAGUAACGGAGGAGCACGAAGGUUGGCUAAUCCUGGUCGGACAUCAGGAGGUUAGUGCAAUGGCAUAAGCCAGCUUGACUGCGAGCGUGACGGCGCGAGCAGGUGCGAAAGCAGGUCAUAGUGAUCCGGUGGUUCUGAAUGGAAGGGCCAUCGCUCAACGGAUAAAAGGUACUCCGGGGAUAACAGGCUGAUACCGCCCAAGAGUUCAUAUCGACGGCGGUGUUUGGCACCUCGAUGUCGGCUCAUCACAUCCUGGGGCUGAAGUAGGUCCCAAGGGUAUGGCUGUUCGCCAUUUAAAGUGGUACGCGAGCUGGGUUUAGAACGUCGUGAGACAGUUCGGUCCCUAUCUGCCGUGGGCGCUGGAGAACUGAGGGGGGCUGCUCCUAGUACGAGAGGACCGGAGUGGACGCAUCACUGGUGUUCGGGUUGUCAUGCCAAUGGCACUGCCCGGUAGCUAAAUGCGGAAGAGAUAAGUGCUGAAAGCAUCUAAGCACGAAACUUGCCCCGAGAUGAGUUCUCCCUGAGACUACGAGUCUCCUGAAGGAACGUUGAAGACGACGACGUUGAUAGGCCGGGUGUGUAAGCGCAGCGAUGCGUUGAGCUAACCGGUACUAAUGAACCGUGAGGCUUAACCUU
Molecule: ribosomal RNA, 2038 nt
Filed under: Salmonella enterica
Lineage: Bacteria; Pseudomonadati; Pseudomonadota; Gammaproteobacteria; Enterobacterales; Enterobacteriaceae
Also listed under: 1 other name
Description: partial 23S ribosomal RNA
Rfam family: Bacterial large subunit ribosomal RNA
Source: RNAcentral